Non-coding RNA from Arvicola amphibius (Eurasian water vole), 412 nucleotides. The record is from the annotation of a RefSeq genome assembly. NCBI's taxonomy places the organism in Eukaryota, Metazoa, Chordata, Mammalia, Rodentia, Cricetidae.
AGUGUCCUCUCCACAGUCGCUGAGCACACAGGUCCUUACCAUGGAGUGGAGCUUGAUCAUUCUCUUCCUCAUGUCAAUAACUACAGGUGUACACUCCCAGGUACUGCUGCAGCAGUCUGGGCCUGAGCUUGUGAGGCCUGGGACCUCAGUGAAAUUGUCCUGCAGGUCCUCUGAUGGUAUCACUUAUAGCUAUAUUAACUGGAUGAAGCAUAGACCUGGUCAGGGCCUGGAGUGGAUUACGAGUAUUUUUCCUGCUUUUGGUGAAACUAACUACAAUCAGAAGUUCCAGGGCAAGGCCAGACUGACUGCAGACAAAUCCUCCAACACAGCCUACAUGGAGCUCAGAAGCCUGACUUCUGAAGACUCUGGGAUCUAUUACUGUGCAAGACACAGUGUUGCAACCACAUCCUGA